Molecule: non-coding RNA, 1293 nt
Organism: Odocoileus virginianus texanus
Lineage: Eukaryota; Metazoa; Chordata; Mammalia; Artiodactyla; Cervidae
Source: RefSeq, a predicted model, not a curated record
CUGCCCCCGGACGCCAUUGGUCAAGUCCCGCCUGCCCAAGUCCUGACAGGCCGCGGAGGGCCGAGUGGGCAAGGCCACACAUCUUGGUCUCCAGGGUGGCCAAUGAACCGAUAAUCUUCCAAACACUGUGGGCGGGAUUAAGAGAAAAUUUGGAAGAGGAUUGGGGGAGAGACAUGCCAGAGAGGGUGACAGAAGUGGUUUGGGGCGGCUGACUCUAGGUUUAGGCGGAGAACUGUGUAGAAAGGGGGAGGGGAGAGAAGCUGGGGGCGUAGCGGCGAGGUGAACGGGAAGAAGAGCCCAAGACCCCGAGAGGGAGGGGAGAAUGGACAAAGAAUGUGGGAUUGUGGCCAAGGAAAAGCCCACUCGUUGACAAGCUAACAAGUAUCGGCCUCCAAUGCACCCAGGAGAGUCCAAAAAAAGGGGGAACUGUGAGAAGGACUCUUGUACUGAUUGAAUAUUAAUCACCUCAAGGGCCUAGGCCAACUGCCAUUCACAGAGGGGCAACUGCAGAACCCAAAGUUGCCGUGCCAGGCUGGGGGUGGGGAAGGGAGACCACCUGGCCACACCUCCCGCCUAGGUGACAGUUUAACUGCCUCCGCAUCCCACAUCAGACCUCCCCGUGCGACCCGGCAGCAGCUCCGAUGUGGGGGUGGCUUGCGACUAAGAAGAAACACAUUUUAUUCCGAAUGUCCCAAUCCAGGCCUCCAUGCCAAAUUGUCAACCAGGCUAUUGGCUGUCUGGUAUCCAGGAGACCGACGUCAAAUUUGCACAGGAAAAGGCGGAGAGAAAGUCUACGCGGAGAGAAGGGUAGCAGAAAGAGAAGCGAGGAAUGAAACGCCGGUCACCUGGCCUACCUCUCGCUCCAUUCCUGUGCACUUCAAGAAGUGCUUCCUGGGAAAACAACUGGGUCUCCGCCUUCCCCUCAAAACGGAGAGGCCGGCACUCUGAAACUACCAUAAGGAAGUUAAAUCGCAGUUCACCGAACAGUGGGGUGUUGGCUAAACCAGCCAUGUAGACCAGCUGCGCUGUUGGGGCACAAACUCGCUUUAUGGACGCAAAAUCUCGUCGUGGCUUUUUCCGUCCAACCUGACUUUAUUGCCCCGCUCUGCUCACCUUUUAGAAGGAACAGAAUUGGAAAAGGGUAUUUCUAAAGGCUCAAAGUGUGUAAGAGGAGGAGGGAAGAUGGGUUUGUGAAAUAGGCUGAGGUUGGGAGUGGUCCGGUGACUUGUCUUGUUUAUUGUGUGGAUUUCUAAAACUUGGGCAGCAUUUUUUAAAAAUAGAAGUUUUACUCAA